This 61-nucleotide transfer RNA is filed under the name Vitis vinifera (wine grape). It matches the Rfam family "tRNA", at positions 6 to 65 of the family's 71-position model. From Rfam's summary of the family: Transfer RNA (tRNA) molecules are approximately 80 nucleotides in length. Their secondary structure includes four short double-helical elements and three loops (D, anti-codon, and T loops). The record is from Rfam by way of RNAcentral. Lineage: Eukaryota; Viridiplantae; Streptophyta; Magnoliopsida; Vitales; Vitaceae.
AGUAGCUCAGUGGUAGAACAAUCGACUGUUAACUGACCGGUCGUAGGUUUGAAUCCUACUU